This is a non-coding RNA of Tremella mesenterica DSM 1558, 97 nucleotides long. NCBI's taxonomy places the organism in Eukaryota, Fungi, Basidiomycota, Tremellomycetes, Tremellales, Tremellaceae. The record is from Rfam.
AGUGCGUUCGGAUAGUGGCUAUUCCGCUUCACUCGAACCCCCUUGUUUUCGAUAUGAAGUGCCGUAAGGCGCGUAGGUUCGAGUCCUACACGCACUG